RNAcentral lists this non-coding RNA (200 nucleotides) under Bacillus sp. (in: firmicutes). The record is from RNAcentral. Lineage: Bacteria; Bacillati; Bacillota; Bacilli; Caryophanales; Bacillaceae. RNAcentral also lists the same sequence under 1 other name.
GUGUUAGCCUUGAGUUAAGAUGCCGUACGGCUUAAUAGGGAAUCUGGUGAAAAUCCAGAACUGCCCCCGCAACUGUAAAUGCUGACGAAAUGAGCGAUGACCACUGUAUAAGUUUCUUAUGAAAAUAGGUGCUUAUGCGGGAAGGGCUCAGAGUAGGAGGAAGCAUAAGUCAGGAGACCUGUCCUAAUUUGAGAUGUUUC